UACGGAGGGUGCGAACGUUAAUCGGAAUCACUGGGCGUAAAGCGCGCGUAGGCGGUCUGUUAAGUGGGAUGUGAAAUCCCCGGGCUUAACCUGGGAAUUGCAUUUCAAACUGGCCGACUAGAGUACGGUAGAGGGAGGUAGAAUUCCGCGUGUAGCAGUGAAAUGCGUAGAGAUGCGGAGGAACACCGAUGGCGAAGGCAGCCCCCUGGGCCAACACUGACGCUCAGGCACGAAAGCGUGGGGAGCAAACAGG
This 253-nucleotide ribosomal RNA is filed under the name uncultured bacterium. RNAcentral's name for it is "partial 16S ribosomal RNA". It matches the Rfam family "Bacterial small subunit ribosomal RNA", at positions 524 to 776 of the family's 1533-position model. The record is from RNAcentral.